Molecule: transfer RNA, 74 nt
Filed under: Caldithrix sp. RBG_13_44_9
Lineage: Bacteria; Pseudomonadati; Calditrichota; Calditrichia; Calditrichales; Calditrichaceae
Description: tRNA-His
Rfam family: tRNA
About the family: Transfer RNA (tRNA) molecules are approximately 80 nucleotides in length. Their secondary structure includes four short double-helical elements and three loops (D, anti-codon, and T loops).
Source: RNAcentral
GUGGAUGUAGCUCAGCUGGUUAGAGCACCAGGUUGUGGCCCUGGUGGCCGUGGGUUCGAAUCCCAUCAUCCACC